Molecule: ribosomal RNA, 460 nt
Filed under: uncultured bacterium
Lineage: Bacteria
Description: partial 16S ribosomal RNA
Rfam family: Bacterial small subunit ribosomal RNA
Source: RNAcentral
CCUACGGGUGGCAGCAGUGAGGAAUAUUGGUCAAUGGACGAGAGUCUGAACCAGCCAAGUAGCGUGAAGGAUGACUGCCCUAUGGGUUGUAAACUUCUUUUAUAUGGGAAUAAAAUGUUCCACGUGUGGGAUUUUGUAUGUACCAUAUGAAUAAGGAUCGGCUAACUCCGUGCCAGCAGCCGCGGUAAUACGGAGGAUCCGAGCGUUAUCCGGAUUUAUUGGGUUUAAAGGGAGCGUAGGUGGAUUGUUAAGUCAGUUGUGAAAGUUUGCGGCUCAACCGUAAAAUUGCAGUUGAAACUGGCAGUCUUGAGUACAGUAGAGGUGGGCGGAAUUCGUGGUGUAGCGGUGAAAUGCUUAGAUAUCACGAAGAACUCCGAAUGCGAAGGCAGUUCACUGGACUGCAACUGACACUGAGGCUCGAAAGUGUGGGUAUCAAACAGGAUUAGAUACCCGAGUAGUC